UGUUCUCUGGGCUACGCGUGAGCCGGCAAUGUCCCUGUGCCGAUACUUACAAACCCAGGGUGAAUGUUUUAAUGACAUUGAGCAAGCUCGGCUCGUAUCGAGAAGCCUUAGGAGUUAUUCAUUUACCCGCCUUGAACCUACGGUUCUUAGGUCGAAGUCGGCCACGGUAGCCUUGAGAGCAA
This 182-nucleotide non-coding RNA is filed under the name Shewanella eurypsychrophilus. RNAcentral's name for it is "Shewanella sp. YLB-08 6S RNA". It matches the Rfam family "6S / SsrS RNA". From Rfam's summary of the family: E. coli 6S RNA was the first non coding RNA to be sequenced, but its function was unknown until recently. It consists of 184 nucleotides that fold into an extended hairpin structure with a large single-stranded internal bulge. RNAcentral also lists the same sequence under 1 other name. Lineage: Bacteria; Pseudomonadati; Pseudomonadota; Gammaproteobacteria; Alteromonadales; Shewanellaceae. The record is from RNAcentral.